ACCCUCGGCCCCCCACGGCGGUUGGUCCCGGCGGGGGAAGGAGAAAGUGAGACUCGGUGUCAUCACCAAUCCGUCGCCAGAAGGGGAGGAAACUGGAAUCCAGCAGCGGCGAGCAGCAGCUGGGCGGUCACAUCUGGAAAUGGAAAGCCGACCUCCCCCUCCUCCUCCACCUCUUCCUCCUCCUCCUCCUCCUCCUCUCACCCAGGAUCACUUCCGAAACCACUUGGCCUUCAGCCCCUGCCUCGGCCAGAGGUUUCAUUUUUAACUGAAUAUUUACGAAAGCUGAAAGCGUGCGAGGGGGGUGGGGUGGAAAUAGCGGCUGCUUCUUUUCCAAGGAUUUAUUUAAUGGGGAUGUGUUCAAGGCAAGACCGAAUUCAGAAGGAUAUCGACGUCGUGAUCCAGAAGUCCAGAGCUGAGGACUGCCUGUUUGCAGGACAACUGUGCAGACUACAAAGCUUCGGAAAACCGGAGAGGCUGAGUCGACUAAUCGUGUUGUUGCACGUUAGAAACGCUUGCAUUGCCUGACUCUGAAACCAGAAGGGCGGCCGAAUGGCCUUCACCCUCCAUUAACCCUCGCCUCCUUCAGAAGCCAGUGCCUCUGGAAAUGCCUGGAUCUGCGACCCCAGCCUGAGCCUAGUAGGGCCCAAGGGAAGCUGAACGCCCCGACGGCUCUCAUGAAAUCACAGAGAUCAGCAACUCUAGAGUGCGAUGAAGAAGCUUCACUCUGGGAGAACCCCCUUCGUGACCACGGUCUCUUUCCUGCCAGGGCACCGGCAACAGUUUUCCGUUUGUGCCUACUCCACCUGCUGUCUUUGUUGGGUCAGCGAACAUCGCCUCCCUCUACCGCUCAAUCAGCAAAAGGGACCGCCCUUGAGGACCUCACCCGCGGCUCACUCCCCUCCCAACUUCGCGGGCAUCGCCUCCGGUCGCCUCUUCCGAAGGCCUAACGAGCAUGUUAGCUGCGAACGGAGGUGAGGAGGCUCCGCUGACUGACCGGUGCCCAUGUCCAGGGCACGCACAAACGCCAUGACUUGGCUUGGCCUCUCUCUUAGUUAUUCACAAGCUCAGCCCGAUAGGCACCUCUGGGGCGGCGACGGCAAAGAGGGUGCGCUUAUUAAGUGCAGCUCCACGGGGACUGGCCUCUGCACGGCUGUGUACACCUGAGCGAGACGCUCAGUCGCUCUCUAAAGCCGCUUCUGCGGAUGACAGACACGGAGAUAAACGUGAGAGGUGGCCCACCACGACUUGCCCUCCUUUGCCCGGGUUUGCCCCUCGCUGCGGAGGCUGUUCUACAUCUGGCCCUUGGAGCAGGCCGGCUGACAGCGUGGUAAAGGAAGAUUUCUGCGGGAGGGCGGCCAGUGCAAAACAAUUCCCUGACCGGGAAUCGAACCCGGGCCGUGGCGCUUUCAGCACCGAAUCCUAGCCACUAGACAACCAUGCAGAUGCGG
Molecule: long non-coding RNA, 1448 nt
Filed under: Homo sapiens (human)
Lineage: Eukaryota; Metazoa; Chordata; Mammalia; Primates; Hominidae
Description: non-protein coding lnc-PPIAL4D-19:3
Source: RNAcentral